AAAUAUGUGUCGAUUUGAUCAUAAAUGUAGUUAUAGAAAUAUUAUGGUUAGUUGUUGUGUAUUUCCAGCCAAACAGCUACCGUGGUGCUAACGUAGCAGCUAGUUGGCUCCCGCUAACAAGCUGCGGCCGUGCUCAGCUCGUGAUUGGCUCUGGAGGGUGUGUAGGCGGGACCUAGAUACCGCGGCUCCAGCACCCCAAUCACUACAGCGCAGACUCUGGCUCCAAAUGAGGUGAAAAUCUCAAAAUGGCAGCUCCCGUUUCUGGGAUAUUUUGGCUUCACUUUUGUACAGUGGGGGGAAGUGGAGACGUAUCGUCCAUCUAUAUGUACAGUCUGUGAUGAUACCAGAC
This is a long non-coding RNA of Sebastes umbrosus (honeycomb rockfish), 349 nucleotides long. RefSeq lists it as uncharacterized. The record is from RefSeq and is a predicted model, not a curated record. The transcript is spliced from 3 exons. NCBI's taxonomy places the organism in Eukaryota, Metazoa, Chordata, Actinopteri, Perciformes, Sebastidae.